Diospyros lotus (date-plum) is the source of this 1346-nucleotide long non-coding RNA. RefSeq lists it as uncharacterized. Lineage: Eukaryota; Viridiplantae; Streptophyta; Magnoliopsida; Ericales; Ebenaceae. The record is from RefSeq and is a predicted model, not a curated record. The transcript has 6 exons.
GCGAAAUUCCUCUAAUUUUUCACUGUAUCGUGCAAACCCAGAAGCUCUUGUGCAAGCCCUGUGUUCUUCUCUUGCAAACCCUUUUCUCACCCUCGUCUUGUGCAAACCCACUCUAGAGCCUUCAAUCCCAGCGAAGAACCAGCCGCCUAUCCCCGCCGAAUCCAAAUUCAAAGCCUUCAAUCAUAGCGAAUAACCAACUCUUCAUCCCUGCCACAUCCAAAUCCAAAGCCUUCAAUCCCAUGUCCCAGCGAAUUCUAUUUUAUUCCCCAUCCGCGAUUCUUCCCCGGAAUCUGUUUCUUCCCCAUCCGCGAUUCUGUGGAAACCCUCUCCUUCUCUAUGACUCGCUUCAAGACUCCUCCGGAAGCAUCUCCAUAGUCUCCUGAUUCAACUCUAGCAACGUCCAUGAAUAUGAUAACACACUUAUACAAGAGCUUCAGCAAUCGCUCGAAAACCAACCUAAAAGCAACAAAAAGGUUAUCCAUAGGGACAAUAGAAGCAACAACAUUGGCAAAUGAUUUUGACGCUACUGAAUAAUUUCUCAUGGUAGUGGCAACGUGGGCUAUGGGCAAGGGAGUCAGCUUUAGCAGCAGAGUCGGUAUGGUGUACAGAUAGUUGGGAUAUCCAUGCGAGAGGGCUUACAAUGUGAGUGGAGUGGUGACGAGGGGGAUGAAUCGGAUUGAUCAGGAUGAGGCGGAAGAUGAAUCUUCCAGCCUCAACAACAAUGAGUCUUUACGCAACCGCGUUCUCCGCCUUCUUCGAGGGCCACGUUAUGGGCAUGUUAUGGCUCUUGUAGGGCAAAGGUACCUGAUGGCAAUUGGUGGAAAUGAUGGCAAGCGACCCUUGGCUGAUGUGUGGGUACUUGACACAGCUAAAAACAUGCACGAACAUGAAUUGGACGUGCCAUGGAUGUGAAGGUCCUUUCACUAUAGUUUUUAUUACUUUUUUUCCGGUAGGUAUUUUUUUUUUUACUUUGUUUUGGGGAUACAUUACAAAUAUAACACAUUUUGGGUAAGGUAUAAAAACACACUGAUCCUAGUUUGCCUAUAAUAUAAUUGUCCUUUUUAUGUUUACAGAUUUAGUGCUGCAUUUAUGUUGGACUAACAUUCUUUUUAGCAGUUUGUACAUUAUCAUUAUUAUAUAUAAAGUGCCAUGUUCAUAUUAGAUUGGUGGGGUUAUUUCAAUAUUUUCAUUACUUUUUGGUUAUUAUAUUUAUGAACACUAUAAAUAAAAUGAAUAGUAUUAUUUUUUUCAUUGUAUCCAUAUCUCUAUUUAUUGUUACUUUUUUUCAAAUAAUCAAAUUUCAUGUUCAUUGACGGAUUCCUUUAUGUACCUCUAUCAUAUUGCUG